Molecule: long non-coding RNA, 601 nt
Filed under: Ananas comosus (pineapple)
Lineage: Eukaryota; Viridiplantae; Streptophyta; Magnoliopsida; Poales; Bromeliaceae
Description: long non-coding RNA (ACOM_LNC014034)
Source: RNAcentral
AUAAACUUUAGAUUUAGAAUGUAAAUUUUAAAUUGAAAUAAUAAAUAUGUAAGUAAUUAAACUUUUUAAGAAUAGGGAUAAUUCUUGAAAAUAGUAUAUAUUACAGCCUACAUUGCCGAAAUUUUUAUCGUACUAAUAAUCUUCGAAGAGAUAAAUGUAGGAAUUAUAUGUUGGGAACCGAAUGGAUCGUCCGUCAUGCGCUACCAACAAAAAUGCACGAAAAAUAGAAAAAACACCGAACGAACGGUAAAAAAAAUAAAUGCAGAAAAAAGAAACCAAGAUUUACGUGGUUCGGCAAUUGCCUACGUUCACGAGGAGAGCGAGAGAAAUGUAUUCCACUAUAUGAAAAAAUAGAAGUACAAGCUUACACAUUAUAUCUUCUCCGGAUAAAAAUCAAGAGCCUUAUAGUGAAUCGCACAUUUCUCUUGUUCCAACGAAAACUUCAAAAAAAUACCGAAAAAGCUUUUCGUAAAAUCGAAAAGACCAAAUUAGAGAAGUAUAGAAACUCUUAACUAAAUUUUUUAUGCUAUUGCUUCUAAGAAUCCGAACCGCUCAAGCAAUUGGUCGAGAACCGCUGCUCUGCAGCCGACUUCAAUCCGAC